GACGUAGGAUGCAAGCGUUGUCCGGAUUUAUUGGGCGUAAAGAGUUCGUAGGCGGUUUGUUAAGUCUGAUGUUAAAGACCAAGGCUCAACCUUGGGACUGCAUUGGAUACUGGCAGACUGGAGUAUGGUAGAGGUCAGUGGAAUUCCCAGUGUAGCGGUGAAAUGCGUAGAUAUUGGGAAGAACACCGGUGGCGUAAGCGACUGACUGGGCCAUAACUGACGCUGAGGAACGAAAGCCAGGGGAGCGAAUGGG
This 253-nucleotide ribosomal RNA is filed under the name uncultured prokaryote. Its description in RNAcentral is "partial 16S ribosomal RNA". It matches the Rfam family "Bacterial small subunit ribosomal RNA", at positions 524 to 776 of the family's 1533-position model. The record is from RNAcentral.